UAACUCCUUACUAAGUGGUUUACUAUAACAUUAAAAUAACUUAUUUUGUUAAUUUACAAGAUUAUAGUAACUCCUUACUAAGUGGUUUACUAUAACAUUACGGUAAAUAUCCCCAUGUGUUAUAGUGACCCAACUAUCGUAAAUAUGUAUAUAUAUUAUCGUAAAUUAGUAUAUAAAAUUAUCGUAAAUGGAGGUGGCUACAGAAUAACAUAUUUUGUAGCUA
Molecule: microRNA precursor, 223 nt
Organism: Sorghum bicolor (sorghum)
Lineage: Eukaryota; Viridiplantae; Streptophyta; Magnoliopsida; Poales; Poaceae
Rfam family: MIR6217 microRNA precursor family
Source: Rfam